GAUGAACGCUAGCGGCAGGCCUAACACAUGCAAGUCGAGGGAGGAGCUUUCGGGCUUCGACCGGCGUACGGGUGCGUAACGCGUAUACAAUCUGCCUUUCACAUAGGGAUAGCCCGAAGAAAUUUGGAUUAAUACCUAAUGGUAUAUAGGAGUGGCAUCACAUUUAUAUUAAAGCUGAGGCGGUGAAAGAUGAGUAUGCGUUCUAUUAGCUAGUUGGAGAGGUAACGGCUCCCCAAGGCGACGAUAGAUAGGGGUUCUGAGAGGGAUAUCCCCCACACUGGUACUGAGAUACGGACCAGACUCCUACGGGAGGCAGCAGUGAGGAAUAUUAGACAAUGGUCGGAAGACUGAUCCAGCCAUGCCGCGUGCAGGAAGACGGCCUUAUGGGUUGUAAACUGCUUUUGCAGGGGAAGAAUAAGGACUACGAGUAGUUUGAUGACGGUACUCUGCGAAUAAGCAUCGGCUAACUCCGU
This 473-nucleotide ribosomal RNA is filed under the name uncultured bacterium. RNAcentral's name for it is "partial 16S ribosomal RNA". It matches the Rfam family "Bacterial small subunit ribosomal RNA", at positions 28 to 506 of the family's 1533-position model. The record is from RNAcentral.